AGAAAAUAAUAAAUUUGUUUACAAAUUUUAAAAUUUUUUAUUAAAAUUUAUUAACGGACGGAUCUUACUUACAACAACAACAACAACAAAAAAUCCCCCUCUCUGUACCACAACAACAAUGCCUGUAAUUUUUAAAAUUUGUUUAACUUAAAAGCUACAAAACCAACCGCUGAGAAAAUUCCUUAAAUAAAUAUUGAAAAAAAGAAAAAAAGUGAAGAAAUUAAUUAGUUUUUUGAAAAUACAACCUGCUGCUUUUUCUAUAAGUUUUUAAGUAAAAAAAAAACAACAACAACAUAAAUUAAAAGAAUAUUUUAUAAAAAAAAGCUGCUGCUUGAAAUGCUAAAUAGAAAUUUCCCUUUCAAAAUAAAUUUUAAGUUGUAAAACGCUUCCUUCUACAACUAUAAACCUCGCUCCUCGGUAAAAUCCCACAAUCAUCACAAUCCGAAAUCCUUUUUAAAGAAAAAGCUUACAAACCGUUAAAAAAAAAAGUUUUUCGCUUAAUACUUUUCAUCACAAUUAAAUUCUAGUCAUUUUUGGAAUUUUGCUAAAAAAAUAAAAAAGAAAAAAAAUCAAUUUUUAUUUGAAAACUUUAGAAGCUAAUGGUUUUGAAAAAUCUACUACUACUACUACUACUACUAUUGCCUGCAACCCUGCAAGUAAAGAAACGUCAUUGAGAAAGAAAGAAAAAAACUUGUCAUAAUUAUUAAUUUGGCAACUGAAAUAUUUAGAAAUAAAAAAACAAAUAUUUCUAAAGAAAUCAAUUCAUUUAAAACAAACGUAAAUCAAGAAAAAAGAUAAACAUCUUUAAAAUAUCAAAAUCAAAUCCCCUUCCCUCCACCACCACCACUACUACCAACAUCAUCAACAACAUACCCCUUUAAGCUGACAGCGAGUGCGUGUUUGUGUCUGUGUAUUAAAUAAAUAAUUUUUGCAUUAUAAUAUAUAUUUGUUGUUCCCGCUCCGCCCUACGGCCUCUGUCAGUUGGCAGCUUAAAUUUUUUUUGGUGUAAUAAUAAUUUUCUAUAAUUAUUUUUUUUUCCGAUAAAAAAAAAAGUUUACAAAAUAUCUAUUAUUUGUUUUUAAUUAUCAAAAUCAAAUACGCUAGUGUAAAAUUAAUUAAUUUAACAAAUAUUAAUAAUAAUUAUUAUAUAAUAAAUAUAAUAAUAUAAAUAAAAAAAAUGGCUGCUAUGGUUAAUAUGACCAGCCUUUUAAAUGGCAAAGAUUCACGUUGGCUCCAGCUAGAAGUAUGUCGGGAAUUUCAAAGAAAUAAAUGCUCCCGCCAAGAUACUGAAUGUAAAUUUGCCCAUCCGCCAGCAAAUGUUGAAGUUCAAAAUGGCAAAGUCACCGCUUGUUAUGAUAGCAUUAAGGGUCGUUGUAAUCGUGAUAAACCGCCUUGCAAAUAUUUUCAUCCUCCACAACAUUUGAAGGAUCAAUUGUUGAUAAAUGGCCGUAAUCAUCUUGCCUUGAAAAAUGCACUAAUGCAACAGAUGGGUAUUGCACCAGGACAGCCAGUUAUACCAGGACAAGUGCCACAAGUGGCCACAAAUCCUUAUUUAACUGGCAUACCUGCUAACACAUACAGUCCAUAUUUUGCACCUGGUCAUUUAGUGCCUGCCUUAUUGGGUCCUGAUCCUACAGCUGUCUCACAAUUGGGACCAGUUGUACCGCAAGCGGUACAAGUGGCUCAACAAAAAAUACCACGUUCCGAUCGAUUAGAGAUGGAUGUUAAAACGGUUGGUUCAUUUUACUAUGAAAAUUUUGCUUAUUCUGGCAUGGUGCCCAUUAAACGUCCUGCUGCUGAAAAGUCUGGCAUUCCUGUGUAUCCCGGUGCAACAACAUACCAACAGUUAAUGCAAUUGCAACAACCAUUUGUACCAGUCUCAUUUACUGGACACCCUCCCGGUGUGCCAAGAUUUUAAUAGAUCUAUGUGCAGUCGGUUAAAUUGUAGAUUCGUUCAUUUAACUGAAGACGAUAAGGUUGAAGUAUGUGAUCAACGUGUGGCUGUGUGUCGUGAUCAUGCCAAUGGUCAGUGCAGACGUAAACAAUGUAAAUAUUAUCACAUACCAAUUGUUUUGCCGCCCGCUAAUAUAAUGGCAGCAUUA
RNAcentral lists this unclassified non-coding RNA (2102 nucleotides) under Lucilia cuprina (Australian sheep blowfly). RNAcentral describes it as "protein muscleblind, transcript variant X4". The record is from RNAcentral. Lineage: Eukaryota; Metazoa; Arthropoda; Insecta; Diptera; Calliphoridae.